GACGAACGCUGGCGGCGUGCUUAACACAUGCAAGUCGAACGGAAAGGCCCUGCUUUUGUGGGGUGCUCGAGUGGCGAACGGGUGAGUAACACGUGAGUAACCUGCCCUUGACUUUGGGAUAACUUCAGGAAACUGGGGCUAAUACCGGAUAGGAGCUCCUGCUGCAUGGUGGGGGUUGGAAAGUUUCGGCGGUUGGGGAUGGACUCGCGGCUUAUCAGCUUGUUGGUGGGGUAGUGGCUUACCAAGGCUUUGGCGGGUAGCCGGCCUGAGAGGGUGACCGGCCACAUUGGGACUGAGAUACGGCCCAGACUCCUACGGGAGGCAGCAGUGGGGAAUAUUGCACAAUGGGCGGAAGCCUGAUGCAGCAACGCCGCGUGCGGGAUGACGGCCUUCGGGUUGUAACCCGCUUUCGCCUGUGACGAAGCGUGAGUGACGGUAAUGGGUAAAGAAGCACCGGCUAACUACGUG
RNAcentral lists this ribosomal RNA (468 nucleotides) under uncultured bacterium. RNAcentral describes it as "partial 16S ribosomal RNA". It matches the Rfam family "Bacterial small subunit ribosomal RNA", at positions 28 to 507 of the family's 1533-position model. The record is from RNAcentral.